RNAcentral lists this ribosomal RNA (468 nucleotides) under uncultured bacterium. RNAcentral describes it as "partial 16S ribosomal RNA". It matches the Rfam family "Bacterial small subunit ribosomal RNA", at positions 28 to 507 of the family's 1533-position model. The record is from RNAcentral.
GACGAACGCUGGCGGCGUGCUUAACACAUGCAAGUCGAACGGAAAGGCCCUGCUUUUGUGGGGUGCUCGAGUGGCGAACGGGUGAGUAACACGUGAGUAACCUGCCCUUGACUUUGGGAUAACUUCAGGAAACUGGGGCUAAUACCGGAUAGGAGCUCCUGCUGCAUGGUGGGGGUUGGAAAGUUUCGGCGGUUGGGGAUGGACUCGCGGCUUAUCAGCUUGUUGGUGGGGUAGUGGCUUACCAAGGCUUUGACGGGUAGCCGGCCUGAGAGGGUGACCGGCCACAUUGGGACUGAGAUACGGCCCAGACUCCUACGGGAGGCAGCAGUGGGGAAUAUUGCACAAUGGGCGGAAGCCUGAUGCAGCAACGCCGCGUGCGGGAUGACGGCCUUCGGGUUGUAAACCGCUUUCGCCUGUGACGAAGCGUGAGUGACGGUAAUGGGUAAAGAAGCACCGGCGAACUACGUG